GUGAGUAUAAUGUGGGAAUCUACCUUUUGGUUCGGAAUAACACGAGGAAACUUGUGCUAAUACCGGAUAAGCCUUCACAGGGAAAGUUUUAACGCCAAAAGAUGAGCCCGCACUUGAUUAGCUAGUUGGUAAGGUAAUUGCUUACCAAGGCAACGAUCAAUAGCUGUUCUUAGAGGAAGACCAGCCACAUUGGGACUGAGACACGGCCCAAACUCCUACGGGAGGCAGCAGUGGGGAAUCUUGCACAAUGGGGGAAACCCUGAUGCAGCGAUGCCGCGUGAGUGAAGAAGGCCUUUGGGUUGUAAAACUCUUUCGUCGGGGAAGAAAAUGACUGUACCCGAAUAAGAAGGUCCGGCUAACUUCGUGCCAGCAGCCGCGGUAAUACGAAGGGACCUAGCGUAGUUCGGAAUUACUGGGCUUAAAGAGCUCGUAGGUGGUUAAAAAAGUUGAUGGUGAAAUCCCAAGGCUCAACCUUGGAACUGCCAUCAAAACUUUUUAGCUAGAGUAUGAUAGAGGAAAGUGGAAUUUCUAGUGUAGAGGUGAAAUUCGUAGAUAUUAGAAAGAACACCAAAUGCGAAGGCAACUUUCUGGAUCAUUACUGACACUGAGGAGCGAAAGCAUGGGUAGCGAAGAGGAUUAGAUACCCUCGUAGUCCAUGCCGUAAACGAUGUGUGCUAGACGUUGGAAACAUAGUUUUCAGG
RNAcentral lists this ribosomal RNA (701 nucleotides) under uncultured bacterium. RNAcentral describes it as "bacterial SSU rRNA". It matches the Rfam family "Bacterial small subunit ribosomal RNA", at positions 106 to 844 of the family's 1533-position model. The record is from RNAcentral.